UACGGAGGGGGCUAGCGUUGUUCGGAAUUACUGGGCGUAAAGCGCGCGUAGGCGGCUUUGUAAGUUAGAGGUGAAAGCCCGGAGCUUAACUCCGGAACUGCCUUUAAGACUGCAUCGCUAGAAUUGUGGAGAGGUGAGUGGAAUUCCGAGUGUAGAGGUGAAAUUCGUAGAUAUUCGGAAGAACACCAGUGGCGAAGGCGACUCACUGGACACAUAUUGACGCUGAGGUGCGAAAGCGUGUGGAGCAAACAGG
This 253-nucleotide ribosomal RNA is filed under the name uncultured bacterium. RNAcentral's name for it is "partial 16S ribosomal RNA". It matches the Rfam family "Bacterial small subunit ribosomal RNA", at positions 524 to 776 of the family's 1533-position model. The record is from RNAcentral.